Molecule: ribosomal RNA, 363 nt
Filed under: Triticum aestivum (bread wheat)
Lineage: Eukaryota; Viridiplantae; Streptophyta; Magnoliopsida; Poales; Poaceae
Description: partial small subunit ribosomal RNA
Source: RNAcentral
AUGGUCCGCACGAUGACCGAAGGCAUCAUGAAUAGGUUUUUGAGCUCCGCGAAGGCCGAGAUGCUUCAAAAGAACGAGACAGAGAUAAGAUGUCCGUGUCGAAGAUGCAAGCUGAAGAGCCUAAUUGCGGACCCGGAUUCCGGGCAGGUGCGGAACCACCUGCUCUUGCGUGGUUUCAUGGAUGGCUAUCGGUGGCAAGGUGAUGAAGAUGACUAUGAAGUCGUCCAUGGGGGCCGGGCAAGAAAUGAGGAAGGGCAGCAAGACAACCACCGCGGCUCGGGCGGGCGAGAAGACGAAGAAUCUCCAGGACAUGAUCACGACGGUGAUGCUGUACAGUCAUCAUGUAGAAGAUGCCGGACAUGA